Molecule: ribosomal RNA, 166 nt
Filed under: Camellia sasanqua
Lineage: Eukaryota; Viridiplantae; Streptophyta; Magnoliopsida; Ericales; Theaceae
Also listed under: 8 other names
Description: 5.8S ribosomal RNA
Rfam family: 5.8S ribosomal RNA
About the family: 5.8S ribosomal RNA (5.8S rRNA) is a component of the large subunit of the eukaryotic ribosome. It is transcribed by RNA polymerase I as part of the 45S precursor that also contains 18S and 28S rRNA. Functionally, it is thought that 5.8S rRNA may be involved in ribosome translocation.
Source: RNAcentral
UAAAAACGACUCUCGGCAACGGAUAUCUCGGCUCUCGCAUCGAUGAAGAACGUAGCGAAAUGCGAUACUUGGUGUGAAUUGCAGAAUCCCGCGAACCAUCGAGUCUUUGAACGCAAGUUGCGCCCGAAGCCAUUAGGUCGAGGGCACGUCUGCCUGGGCGUCUCAC